GCAUUUCUGGUUGGCGACCCAGACGCCUUCGACAUUCUUCAAUGUCUUGAUAGCGCGUUUGACGCCAUUCUGAACGGCGUCUUCAAAACUUUUCGGGGAAGCGGCAAUCGGUGACGCGUGCAACUGACAUGAUCUUCUCCUGACAAGGAAAGACAUAAAUCGAUUUGGCACUUGAGCGCGGGCAGCUUAGGUGCGCAGCCGAGGGCGUCAAGUUGACAGACGCGCGCCUGUGCAGGCGCAGCAUCCCAAUCCGCCUGCCAUGGCAGCGCACA
Molecule: unclassified non-coding RNA, 272 nt
Filed under: Hevea brasiliensis (rubber tree)
Lineage: Eukaryota; Viridiplantae; Streptophyta; Magnoliopsida; Malpighiales; Euphorbiaceae
Source: RNAcentral